Drosophila melanogaster (fruit fly) is the source of this 578-nucleotide non-coding RNA. The record is from Ensembl. NCBI's taxonomy places the organism in Eukaryota, Metazoa, Arthropoda, Insecta, Diptera, Drosophilidae.
UGCGAUGUGUCUAUAAACACCUUUUGUGUGCAGCGCGUAAUGCUCAAAAUAUUUUCCAGCUAAAGGUGCGAAAAUCAUUUGGCAUCGCCAGACGAAACUCCCACACAAUGCCCAUUAUUGGGUGAUCGACAGGAUAAAGAGAUCGUGCGAGUGAAUGGGAGCAGACAGGAUAGCGACAAGGUGACACCUUGCAAAACGCAUUGUUGGCCGUUUCGGGAUUACAGAUGGACGAUGACGUUUGCUAAAUAUCCUGGAGCGUCCCGUCUCUUUUUGCGAGAAGUUAAGCAAUUUGUUGAGCGUCGACGGGACAAACAAUGGGCUACAAUGGAAGGCCAUUGAAAAACUAUUGAAAACGAUGGGCUGGCCAGCCACAAAUGGUUAUGCAAGAAGUUACUGGUGAGCACAACGAUUUGAGAGGAGCUAUGGAAAAUUGAGUAAUAGUCGCAGAUUAUCGCAAAGUGCUUGGAAAUUCCGGGUAUCUACGGUUAUUAUAAUGCUGGAUGAUGCAAAAAAGGGAACUCAGAUGAAAUGUGAGGAGCUACUUAAAAAGUAUUAGCCAGGAAAGCCAGGAAGUAGUU